Molecule: non-coding RNA, 93 nt
Organism: Sphaerobolus stellatus SS14
Lineage: Eukaryota; Fungi; Basidiomycota; Agaricomycetes; Geastrales; Sphaerobolaceae
Source: the annotation of a GenBank genome assembly
GGCCUUAUGGUCUAGUAGCAUGAUUCUUCCUUUGGGCAACAGAUUACUCUGUAAGAUUGGAAGAGGUCCUGGGUUCAAUUCCCAGUGAGGCCC